This 492-nucleotide ribosomal RNA is filed under the name uncultured bacterium. RNAcentral describes it as "partial 16S ribosomal RNA". It matches the Rfam family "Bacterial small subunit ribosomal RNA", at positions 29 to 507 of the family's 1533-position model. The record is from RNAcentral.
AGUGAACGCUGGCGGUAGGCCUAACACAUGCAAGUCGAACGGCAGCACAGUAAGAGCUUGCUCUUACGGGUGGCGAGUGGCGGACGGGUGAGGAAUACAUCGGAAUCUACUUUUUCGUGGGGGAUAACGUAGGGAAACUUACGCUAAUACCGCAUACGACCUACGGGUGAAAGCAGGGGAUCUUCGGACCUUGCGCGAUUGAAUGAGCCGAUGUCGGAUUAGCUAGUUGGCGGGGUAAAGGCCCACCAAGGCGACGAUCCGUAGCUGGUCUGAGAGGAUGAUCAGCCACACUGGAACUGAGACACGGUCCAGACUCCUACGGGAGGCAGCAGUGGGGAAUAUUGGACAAUGGGCGCAAGCCUGAUCCAGCCAUACCACGUGGGUGAAGAAGGCCUUCGGGUUGUAAAGCCCUUUUGUCGGGAAAGAAAAGCAGCAGGUUAAUACCCCGCUGUUCUGACGGUACCCAAAGAAUAAGCACCGGCUAACUUCGUG